RNAcentral lists this unclassified non-coding RNA (617 nucleotides) under Hevea brasiliensis (rubber tree). Lineage: Eukaryota; Viridiplantae; Streptophyta; Magnoliopsida; Malpighiales; Euphorbiaceae. The record is from RNAcentral.
UGGCAUAUGGAAAAAAUUGUCUGGAAGAAAAUGGGUUAAAGGGCAUACUAAUAUUUGAUUAUUUUAAAGUACAAAGUAUUUGAGUGAUUAUUUUAAAUUACAAAGUAUUUGAAAAACUAUGUAUAGUGUGUGUGUGUAUUGAGUGUGGAGCUUUAACAGUCAAAAUCUGCAAUGUUCUAACCGUUAAGUGUUGAUAGAUUUGCUAAAUACUGGCAAAUGUUUAGAUAGAUUUGCUAAAUAUUUUAACUUUGCAGGCAGUCCCAACAAUAUACACUGAUAUUAGUGGCCACACUGUUAGCUCAAACCAGUACUCUGUAACGGAGCAUUUCAAGAAAUCAGAACCGGAUCAACAUGAUUCUCUCGGAGUUUUCUUCUUCUAUGACUUUUCUCCAAUUAAGGUGUGUUCUUUGUCAACAUCUAAUAUACUUGUUGAAUUCCUUGUUUUAUAUUUUUUUAUAAUUAUGUAGGUGUUGCAUAUGUUUCUGAUUAUAUAUAUAUAUGUGUGUGUAUAUUCUAUUUACUUGUGACUUCUGAUGUAUUAGUAAUUUGUUUAUAUAUGUAUGUAUAUUCUAUUUACUUGUGACUUCUGAUGUAUUAGUAAUUUGUUUAUAUAUGUA